This 519-nucleotide ribosomal RNA is filed under the name Microstigma maculatum. RNAcentral's name for it is "partial 16S ribosomal RNA". It matches the Rfam family "Bacterial large subunit ribosomal RNA", at positions 1810 to 2602 of the family's 2925-position model. Lineage: Eukaryota; Metazoa; Arthropoda; Insecta; Odonata; Coenagrionidae. The record is from RNAcentral.
AAAACAUGUCUUUUUGUUUAUAUAAAAGGUCAGGCCUGCCCGGUGAAUUAUUUAACGGCCGCGGUAUAUUGACCGUGCAAAGGUAGCAUAAUCAUUAGUUUUUUAAUAGGGGACUGGUAUGAAAGGUUUAACGAAACAUAAACUAUCUUAUUUUUAUUUUUAUAAUUUAACUUUUGAGUUAAAAGGCUUAAAUUUUUUUGAGGGACGAGAAGACCCUAUAGAGCUUUACAUUAUUUAUUUUAUUAAUAUAUUUUAAUAAUAAAGUACUAUUAUAAAUAUUGUUUUGUUGGGGUGACAAUUAAUAUUUAAUUAACUUUAAUUAUUUAAUUUACAUUAAAUUUAUGAUUAUUUGAUCCAAUAUUAUUGAUUAUUAGAAUAAGUUACCUUAGGGAUAACAGCGUAAUCUUUUUUCAGAGACCAAAUUUACAAAAAGGCUUGCGACCUCGAUGUUGGAUUAAGAUUAUAGUUAGGUGCAGUAGCUUAAUGAAUAGGUCUGUUCGACCUUUAAAUUCUUACGUG